RNAcentral lists this long non-coding RNA (326 nucleotides) under Mytilus galloprovincialis (Mediterranean mussel). Lineage: Eukaryota; Metazoa; Mollusca; Bivalvia; Mytilida; Mytilidae. The record is from RNAcentral.
AAAAAUUUUUGUUUUCAAAAUGGCCAACAUUCAAAAUGGCCGCCAUUAAUUCAAUACCUGAUGUCCUAAGAUUAUAGUCCUUAUCAUAAGUGAUAAAUAUACCAAGUUUCAUACCAAAAGGUAGAGUCAAUUGUUUUUUACAAAUUUUAUUCUUAUUUUAUCAUAAAUUUUCAGGUAGCCAUUUUAAAAUGGCCGCCCAAAGCCGCCAUUUUGAUUUUUAGAAAUGGGUCCAUAGCUAUAAAUGUUUAUUAUGACCUAAACUAAAACUCUGCAAAGUUUGAUGCUUUUACCACCUUCUGAGCAAUUGUUUCACAAAUCGAUCGGAC